Molecule: ribosomal RNA, 466 nt
Filed under: uncultured bacterium
Lineage: Bacteria
Description: partial 16S ribosomal RNA
Rfam family: Bacterial small subunit ribosomal RNA
Source: RNAcentral
GAUGAACGCUGGCGGCGUGCUUAACACAUGCAAGUCGAACGAUGAAGCCCAGCUUGCUGGGUGGAUUAGUGGCGAACGGGUGAGUAACACGUGAGUAACCUGCCCUUAACUCUGGGAUAAGCCUGGGAAACUGGGUCUAAUACCGGAUAGGAGCGUCCACCGCAUGGUGGGUGUUGGAAAGAUUUAUCGGUUUUGGAUGGACUCGCGGCCUAUCAGCUUGUUGGUGAGGUAAUGGCUCACCAAGGCGACGACGGGUAGCCGGCCUGAGAGGGUGACCGGCCACACUGGGACUGAGACACGGCCCAGACUCCUACGGGAGGCAGCAGUGGGGAAUAUUGCACAAUGGGCGCAAGCCCAAUGCAGCGACGCCGCGUGAGGGAUGACGGCCUUCGGGUUGUAAACCUCUUUCAGUAGGGAAGAAGCGAAAGUGACGGUACCUGCAGAAGAAGCACCGGCUAACUACGUG